RNAcentral lists this ribosomal RNA (374 nucleotides) under uncultured organism. RNAcentral describes it as "partial 16S ribosomal RNA". It matches the Rfam family "Bacterial small subunit ribosomal RNA", at positions 527 to 896 of the family's 1533-position model. The record is from RNAcentral.
GUAGGUGGCAAGCGUUGUCAGGAAUUAUUGGGCGUAAAGCGCGCGCAGGCGGUUCGUUUAAGUCUGAUGUGAAAGCCCACGGGCUCAACCGUGGAGGGUCAUUGGAAACUGGAGAACUUGAGUACAGAAGAGGAAAGCGGAAUUCCACGUGUAGCGGUGAAAUGCGUAGAGAUGUGGAGGAACACCAGUGGCGAAGGCGGCUUUCUGGUCUGUAACUGACGCUGAGGCGCGAAAGCGUGGGGAGCAAACAGGAUUAGAUACCCUGGUAGUCCACGCCGUAAACGAUGAGUGCUAAGUGUUAGGGGGUUUCCGCCCCUUAGUGCUGCAGCUAACGCAUUAAGCACUCCGCCUGGGGAGUACGGCCGCAAAGGCUG